GACGAACGCUGGCGGCGUGCUUAACACAUGCAAGUCGAGCGGUAAGGCCCUUUCGGGGGUACACGAGCGGCGAACGGGUGAGUAACACGUGGGUGACCUGCCCUUAGCUCUGGGAUAAGCCUGGGAAACUGGGUCUAAUACCGGAUAUGACUCCAUGACGCAUGUUGUGGGGUGGAAAGCCUUGUGCGGCUAGGGAUGGGCCCGCGGCCUAUCAGCUUGUUGGUGGGGUGAUGGCCACCAAGGCGACGACGGGCAGCCGGCCUGAGAGGGCGACCGGCCACACUGGGACUGAGACACGGCCCAGACUCCUACGGGAGGCAGCAGUGGGGAAUCUUGCGCAAUGGGCGAAAGCCUGACGCAGCGACGCCGCGUGAGGGAUGACGGCCUGG
Molecule: ribosomal RNA, 389 nt
Filed under: uncultured bacterium
Lineage: Bacteria
Description: bacterial SSU rRNA
Rfam family: Bacterial small subunit ribosomal RNA
Source: RNAcentral